Molecule: ribosomal RNA, 253 nt
Filed under: uncultured bacterium
Lineage: Bacteria
Description: partial 16S ribosomal RNA
Rfam family: Bacterial small subunit ribosomal RNA
Source: RNAcentral
UACGGAGGGUGCGAGCGUUGUCCGGAAUCACUGGGCGUAAAGGGCGCGUAGGCGGCGCGGUAAGCGUGCGGUGAAAGUCCGGGGCUCAACCCCGGAUCGGCCGUGCGGACUGCCGGGCUUGAGCACUGUAGGGGCGGGUGGAACUCCGGGUGUAGCGGUGGAAUGCGUAGAGAUCCGGAAGAACACCGGUGGCGAAGGCGGCCCGCUGGGCAGUGACUGACGCUGAGGCGCGACAGCAUGGGGAGCGAACAGG